Molecule: ribosomal RNA, 433 nt
Filed under: uncultured bacterium
Lineage: Bacteria
Description: partial 16S ribosomal RNA
Rfam family: Bacterial small subunit ribosomal RNA
Source: RNAcentral
AGCGAACGCUGGCGGCAGGCUUAACACAUGCAAGUCGAGCGGGCCCUUCGGGGUCAGCGGCAGACGGGUGAGUAACGCGUGGGAACGUGCCCUUCGGUUCGGAAUAACUCAGGGAAACUUGAGCUAAUACCGGAUACGCCCUUAUGGGGAAAGGCUUGCUGCCGAAGGAUCGGCCCGCGUCUGAUUAGCUAGUUGGUGAGGUUAUGGCUCACCAAAGCGACGAUCAGUAGCUGGCCUGAGAGGAUGAUCAGCCACACUGGGACUGAGACACGGCCCAGACUCCUACGGGAGGCAGCAGUGGGGAAUAUUGGACAAUGGGGGCAACCCUGAUCCAGCCAUGCCGCGUGAGUGAUGACGGCCUUAGGGUUGUAAAGCUCUUUUCUCCGGGACGAUAAUGACGGUACCGGAGGAAUAAGCCCCGGCUAACUUCGUG